Molecule: ribosomal RNA, 198 nt
Filed under: uncultured bacterium
Lineage: Bacteria
Description: partial 16S ribosomal RNA
Rfam family: Bacterial small subunit ribosomal RNA
Source: RNAcentral
GGCUGCAACUCGCCUACAUGGAGUCGGAAUUGCUAGUAAUCGCGGAUCAGCAUGCCGCGGUGAAUACGUUCCCGGGCCUUGUACACACCGCCCGUCACACCAUGGGAGUCGGUAACACCCGAAGCCUGUAGUCUAACCGCAAGGAGGACGCAGUCGAAGGUGGGAUUGAUGACUGGGGUGAAGUCGUAACAAGGUAGC